CACGUGGGGUCCGAGCGUUGUCCGGAGUCACUGGGCGUAAAGCGCACGCAGGCGGUCCACUGCGCCCGGCGUGAAAGCCCCCGGCUCAACCGGGGAGGGUCGUCGGGGACGGGUGGACUUGAGAGCGGCAGGGGCCGGUGGAAUCCCUGGUGUAGUGGUGAAAUGCGUAGAGAUCAGGGGGAACACCCGUGGCGAAGGCGGCCGGCUGGGCCGACUCUGACGCUGAGGUGCGAAGGCGUGGGGAGCGAACGGG
This 253-nucleotide ribosomal RNA is filed under the name uncultured bacterium. RNAcentral describes it as "partial 16S ribosomal RNA". It matches the Rfam family "Bacterial small subunit ribosomal RNA", at positions 524 to 776 of the family's 1533-position model. The record is from RNAcentral.